UACGUAGGGGGCAAGCGUUGUCCGGAUUUAUUGGGCGUAAAGAGCGUGUAGGCGGUUCGGUAGGUCCGUUGUGAAAACUCGAGGCUCAACCUCGAGACGCCGAUGGAAACCAUCGAACUAGAGUCCGGAAGAGGAGAGUGGAAUUCCUGGUGUAGCGGUGAAAUGCGCAGAUAUCAGGAAGAACACCCGUGGCUAAGGCGGCUCUCUAGUACGGUACUGACGCUGAGACGCGAAAGCUAGGGGAGCAAACAGG
This 253-nucleotide ribosomal RNA is filed under the name uncultured bacterium. RNAcentral describes it as "partial 16S ribosomal RNA". It matches the Rfam family "Bacterial small subunit ribosomal RNA", at positions 524 to 776 of the family's 1533-position model. The record is from RNAcentral.